GCGGGCAUGGUGUAGCGGUAGCACGUCAGUCUUCCAAACUGAAAGCACGGGUUCGAUACCCGUUGCCCGCUCCA
This 74-nucleotide transfer RNA is filed under the name Oligella urethralis. Its description in RNAcentral is "tRNA-Gly(tcc)". It matches the Rfam family "tRNA". Rfam says of the family: Transfer RNA (tRNA) molecules are approximately 80 nucleotides in length. Their secondary structure includes four short double-helical elements and three loops (D, anti-codon, and T loops). The record is from RNAcentral. Lineage: Bacteria; Pseudomonadati; Pseudomonadota; Betaproteobacteria; Burkholderiales; Alcaligenaceae.